This 440-nucleotide ribosomal RNA is filed under the name uncultured bacterium. Its description in RNAcentral is "partial 16S ribosomal RNA". It matches the Rfam family "Bacterial small subunit ribosomal RNA", at positions 338 to 795 of the family's 1533-position model. The record is from RNAcentral.
CCUACGGGUGGCUGCAGUGGGGAAUAUUGCACAAUGGGGGAAACCCUGAUGCAGCGACGCCGCGUGAGUGAAGAAGGAUCUCGGUACGUAAAGCUCUAUCAGCAGGGAAGAAAAUGACGGUACCUGACUAAUAAGCCCCGGCUAACUACGUGCCAGCAGCCGCGGUAAUACGUAGGGUGCAAGCGUUAUCCGGAUUUACUGGGUGUAAGGGGGGCGUAGGCGGCAGCAUAAGUCUGGAGUGAAAUCCCGGGGCUUAACCCCGGCACUGCUUUGGAAACUGUGCGGCUGGAGUGCAGGAGGGGUAAGCGGAAUUCCUGGUGUAGCGGUGAAAUGCGUAGAUAUUAGGAGGAACACCGGUGGCGAAGGCGGCUUACUGGACUGUAACUGACGUUGAGGCUCGAAGGCGUGGGGAGCAAACAGGAUUAGAUACCCGGGUAGUC